Molecule: unclassified non-coding RNA, 175 nt
Filed under: uncultured Rachicladosporium
Lineage: Eukaryota; Fungi; Ascomycota; Dothideomycetes; Capnodiales
Description: sequence contains ITS1
Source: RNAcentral
AACGAAACAAACCCUCCUCGUGGGCUCCGGCUCGCAGGGAGGGCCAGUCUCAAACCCUUUGUCGUCCGACUAUGUUGCCUCGGGGGAGACCCUGCCUUCGGGCGGGUGGCACCCCGGUGGACCAAACCAAACUCUUGCGUAACUUGUCGUCUGAGUCGAUUUAUUAAAUUAAUCA